CCUACGGGGGGCUGCAGUGGGGAAUAUUGGACAAUGGGGGCAACCCUGAUCCAGCCAUGCCGCGUGUGUGAAGAAGGCCCUCGGUUUGUAAAGCACUUUCAGUGAGGAAGAACGCCUGGUGGUUAAUACCCAUCAGGAAAGACAUCACUCACAGAAGAAGCACCGGCUAACUCCGUGCCAGCAGCCGCGGUAAUACGGAGGGUGCGAGCGUUAAUCGGAAUUACUGGGCGUAAAGCGCGCGUAGGUGGCUUGAUAAGCCGGUUGUGAAAGCCCCGGGCUCAACCUGGGAACGGCAUCCGGAACUGUCAAGCUAGAGUGCAGGAGAGGAAGGUAGAAUUCCCGGUGUAGCGGUGAAAUGCGUAGAGAUCGGGAGGAAUACCAGUGGCGAAGGCGGCCUUCUGGACUGACACUGACACUGAGGUGCGAAAGCGUGGGUAGCAAACAGGAUUAGAUACCCUAGUAGUC
Molecule: ribosomal RNA, 465 nt
Filed under: Vreelandella stevensii
Lineage: Bacteria; Pseudomonadati; Pseudomonadota; Gammaproteobacteria; Oceanospirillales; Halomonadaceae
Description: partial 16S ribosomal RNA
Rfam family: Bacterial small subunit ribosomal RNA
Source: RNAcentral